This 879-nucleotide ribosomal RNA is filed under the name Escherichia coli. RNAcentral's name for it is "partial 23S ribosomal RNA". It matches the Rfam family "Bacterial large subunit ribosomal RNA", at positions 375 to 1258 of the family's 2925-position model. The record is from RNAcentral. Lineage: Bacteria; Pseudomonadati; Pseudomonadota; Gammaproteobacteria; Enterobacterales; Enterobacteriaceae.
GUACACAAAAAUGCACAUACUGUGAGCUCGAUGAGUAGGGCGGGACACGUGGUAUCCUGUCUGAAUAUGGGGGGACCAUCCUCCAAGGCUAAAUACUCCUGACUGACCGAUAGUGAACCAGUACCGUGAGGGAAAGGCGAAAAGAACCCCGGCGAGGGGAGUGAAAAAGAACCUGAAACCGUGUACGUACAAGCAGUGGGAGCCUCUUAAUGGGGUGACUGCGUACCUUUUGUAUAAUGGGUCAGCGACUUAUAUUCUGUAGCAAGGUUAACCGAAUAGGGGAGCCGAAGGGAAACCGAGUCUUAACUGGGCGUUAAGUUGCAGGGUAUAGACCCGAAACCCGGUGAUCUAGCCAUGGGCAGGUUGAAGGUUGGGUAACACUAACUGGAGGACCGAACCGACUAAUGUUGAAAAAUUAGCGGAUGACUUGUGGCUGGGGGUGAAAGGCCAAUCAAACCGGGAGAUAGCUGGUUCUCCCCGAAAGCUAUUUAGGUAGCGCCUCGUGAAUUCAUCUCCGGGGGUAGAGCACUGUUUCGGCAAGGGGGUCAUCCCGACUUACCAACCCGAUGCAAACUGCGAAUACCGGAGAAUGUUAUCACGGGAGACACACGGCGGGUGCUAACGUCCGUCGUGAAGAGGGAAACAACCCAGACCGCCAGCUAAGGUCCCAAAGUCAUGGUUAAGUGGGAAACGAUGUGGGAAGGCCCAGACAGCCAGGAUGUUGGCUUAGAAGCAGCCAUCAUUUAAAGAAAGCGUAAUAGCUCACUGGUCGAGUCGGCCUGCGCGGAAGAUGUAACGGGGCUAAACCAUGCACCGAAGCUGCGGCAGCGACACUAUGUGUUGUUGGGUAGGGGAGCGUUCUGUAAGCCUGCGAAGGUG